GACGAACGCUGGCGGCGUGCUUAACACAUGCAAGUCGAGCGGAGCGGCGAACGGGCGAGUAACGCGUGAGUAACUGCCCCCCUCUCUGGGUUAACAGUUGGAAACGGCUGCUAAUACCGGAUAGUGGGGGAUGACUCGCGUCCUAUCAGCUUGUUGGUGGGGUAGUGGCCUACGAAGGCGACGACGGGUAGCCGGCAUGAGAGGGCGACCGGCCAAAUUGGGCUGAGAUACGGCCCCAACGCCUACGGGGGGCAGCAGUGGGGAAUGUUGCACAAUGGGGGAGACCCUGAUGCAGCAAGGCACGUGCGGGAGGACGGCAUUCGGGUUGUAAACCGCUUUAAGCCAUGACGCGGUAGUGGCAGAAGAAGCACCGGCUAACUACGUGCCAGCAGCCGCGGUAAUAC
This 404-nucleotide ribosomal RNA is filed under the name uncultured bacterium. Its description in RNAcentral is "partial 16S ribosomal RNA". It matches the Rfam family "Bacterial small subunit ribosomal RNA", at positions 28 to 526 of the family's 1533-position model. The record is from RNAcentral.